RNAcentral lists this long non-coding RNA (266 nucleotides) under Elaeis guineensis (African oil palm). Its description in RNAcentral is "long non-coding RNA (EGUI_LNC054420)". Lineage: Eukaryota; Viridiplantae; Streptophyta; Magnoliopsida; Arecales; Arecaceae. The record is from RNAcentral.
UCAGAAUUCAUCGAUAUGUAACCCUGAUCGAAAAGUCCCAAUCAGUGGGACUCUUGACCCCGGUACCCAUAAUGUGUGGAACUCGUGAUCAGAGAAUCUUGAUUCUCAAUCACUGAGUCUCAAACAUGUAGGAUUCUACACCAGCCAUCAGAUCAGAUAGAAACUUCUAAUGUGUGUGACCCCACAGGUUCGAACCUAAGCCAGUAGCACAGGAACCAAUUUCUGUACUAAUCAAAGUGACCAUCUAGCAAUGGUACCUGACAUCC